RNAcentral lists this ribosomal RNA (497 nucleotides) under uncultured bacterium. RNAcentral describes it as "partial 16S ribosomal RNA". It matches the Rfam family "Bacterial small subunit ribosomal RNA", at positions 28 to 507 of the family's 1533-position model. The record is from RNAcentral.
GAUGAACGCUGGCGGCGUGCCUAAUACAUGCAAGUCGAGCGAACGGACGAGAAGCUUGCUUCUCUGAUGUUAGCGGCGGACGGGUGAGUAACACGUGGAUAACCUACCUAUAAGACUGGGAUAACUUCGGGAAACCGGAGCUAAUACCGGAUGAUAUUUUGAACCGCAUGGUUCAAAAGUGAAAGACGGUCUUGCUGUCACUUAUAGAUGGAUCCGCGCUGCAUUAGCUAGUUGGUAAGGUAACGGCUUACCAAGGCAACGAUGCAUAGCCGACCUGAGAGGGGGGUCGGCCACACUGGAACUGAGACAGGGUCCCGACUCCUACGGGAGGCAGCAGUAGGGAAUCUUCCGCAAUGGGCGAGAGCCUGACGGAGCAACGCCGAGUGAGUGAUGAAGGUCUUCGGAUCGUAAAACUCUGUUAUUAGGGAAGAACAUAUGUGUAAGUAACUGUGCACAUCUUGACGGUACCUAAUCAGAAAGCCACGGCUAACUACGUG